AACCUUCCUUUUAUGGGGAAUAGCCCAGAGAAAUUUGGAUUAUACCCGUAACAUAGCGAUGAGGCAUCUCAUUGCUAUUAUAGCUUCGGCGCUAGAUGAUGGGUGUGCGUAUGAUUAGAUAGUUGGCGAGGUACGGCUCACAAGUCUAGAUCAUUAGCUGAUGUGAGAGCAUGCUCAGCCACUCGGGCACUGAGACACGGGCCCGACUCCUACGGGAGGCAUCAGU
Molecule: ribosomal RNA, 226 nt
Filed under: uncultured bacterium
Lineage: Bacteria
Description: partial 16S ribosomal RNA
Rfam family: Bacterial small subunit ribosomal RNA
Source: RNAcentral